Molecule: transfer RNA, 67 nt
Filed under: Pachycephus cruentatus
Lineage: Eukaryota; Metazoa; Arthropoda; Insecta; Hymenoptera; Cephidae
Description: tRNA-Met
Source: RNAcentral
AAAAAGAUAAGCUAACUAAGCUUAAAGACUCAUAAUCUUUACAUAGARAUYWUGACAUCUCGUAUGC